This 725-nucleotide ribosomal RNA is filed under the name uncultured archaeon. RNAcentral's name for it is "bacterial SSU rRNA". It matches the Rfam family "Archaeal small subunit ribosomal RNA", at positions 136 to 859 of the family's 1478-position model. The record is from RNAcentral.
GAAACUGGGGAUAAUUCCGGAUAACGCACAUAUGCUGGAAUGCUUUUUGCGUAAAAUGGAUUCGUCUGCCCAAGGAUGGGUCUGCGGCCUAUCAGGUAGUAGUGGGUGUAAUGUACCUACUAGCCUACGACGGGUACGGGUUGUGAGAGCAAGAGCCCGGAGAUGGAUUCUGAGACAUGAAUCCAGGCCCUACGGGGCGCAGCAGGCGCGAAAACUUUACAAUGCGGGAAACCGUGAUAAGGGGACACCGAGUGCCAGCAUCCUAUGCUGGCUGUCCGGGUGUGUAAAAUACACCUGUUAGCAAGGGCCGGGCAAGACCGGUGCCAGCCGCCGCGGUAACACCGGCGGCCCGAGUGGUGAUCGUGAUUAUUGGGUCUAAAGGGUCCGUAGCCGGUUUGGUCAGUCCUCCGGGAAAUCUGACAGCUCAACUGUUAGGCUAUCGGAGGAUACUGCCAGACUUGGAACCGGGAGAGGUAAGAGGUACUACAGGGGUAGGAGUGAAAUCUUGUAAUCCCUGUGGGACCACCUGUGGCGAAGGCGUCUUACCAGAACGGGUUCGACGGUGAGGGACGAAAGCUGGGGGCACGAACCGGAUUAGAUACCCGGGUAGUCCCAGCCGUAAACGAUGCUCGCUAGGUGUCAGGCAUGGCGCGACCGUGUCUGGUGCCGCAGGGAAGCCGUGAAGCGAGCCACCUGGGAAGUACGGCCGCAAGGCUGAAACUUAA